Molecule: transfer RNA, 360 nt
Filed under: uncultured Microcystis sp.
Lineage: Bacteria; Bacillati; Cyanobacteriota; Cyanophyceae; Chroococcales; Microcystaceae
Description: partial 16S-23S ribosomal RNA intergenic spacer
Rfam family: tRNA (bases 134-207)
Source: RNAcentral
AAAGGGAGACCUAAUUCCGGUAGGAGACGAAAAAAAAGUAGUCCCAACCAAGAAUCAAUCCCAAAAGGUCGGAACGAGGUAUGAGGCUUUCAAACUAGGUUCUGGGUUCAUAAAAGACCUGAAUCAGGAACAAGGGCUAUUAGCUCAGGUGGUUAGAGCGCACCCCUGAUAAGGGUGAGGUCCCUGGUUCGAGUCCAGGAUGGCCCACCUGCACAGGUGGCAAAAACAAAAGAAGCGAGGAAUCAGCACCUUAUCUUAUAUACAUAUAUAAGAGAGAAUGCUGGCUCUGAGUACAGAGUCCAGAGGAACCUUGAAAACUGCAUAGAGCUAGGUGAAAAAGCCAAAAAAGAAGACCGCAAG